RNAcentral lists this ribosomal RNA (253 nucleotides) under uncultured bacterium. RNAcentral's name for it is "partial 16S ribosomal RNA". It matches the Rfam family "Bacterial small subunit ribosomal RNA", at positions 524 to 776 of the family's 1533-position model. The record is from RNAcentral.
UACGGGGGGGGCAAGCGUUGUUCGGAAUUACUGGGCGUAAAGGGCUCGUAGGCGGCCAACUAAGUCGGACGUGAAAUCCCCAGGCUCAACCUGGGAACUGCGUCCGAUACUGGAUGGCUUGAAUCCGGGAGAGGGAUGCAGAAUUCCAGGUGUAGCGGUGAAAUGCGUAGAUAUCAGGAGGAAUACCGAUGGCGAAGGCAGGUCUCUGGGCUGACACUGACGCUCAUGCACGAAAGCGUGGGGAGCAAACAGG